GCGACCCCAGUCAGGCUGAGACCUGGUU
Molecule: ribosomal RNA, 28 nt
Filed under: Cuscuta japonica (Japanese dodder)
Lineage: Eukaryota; Viridiplantae; Streptophyta; Magnoliopsida; Solanales; Convolvulaceae
Description: partial 28S ribosomal RNA
Source: RNAcentral